ACGAGAUCUGAUGGGUUUUUCCGGGGUUUCCGCUUUUGCUUCCUCCUCAUUUUUCUCUUGCCGCCACCGUGUAAGAAGUGCCUUUCGCCUCCCGCCAUGAUUCCGAGGCCUGCCCAGCCAUGUGGAACUGUAAGUCCAAUUAAACAUCUUUUUGUUCCCAGUUUUCGGUAUGUCUUCAUCAGCAGCGUGAAAACGGACUAAUGCACCCUCUCCCUACCAGCGGGUGUAGUCUGAUGAGGUCUAUGCGGCACUGUAGGGUGGCAGUCAUGGAGGAAUGCUGUUUAAAUGUCCCUUCAAGAGGGAGUCACCAGAAGGAGAGUCAUUCACCACAGCUUCUGACCUCAGGGGCCUUCAGAAGCCACCUGGUCAGUGUCCAAGCAUGGCCAAGGUGCAGGGUGGCUGCUGGGACUCCAUGAAAGGCUCCUCUAUGGGCAACCUGUGUGGCAGCACUUCCUGCUUGGCUGCCCGAGGAUUCCCAGUGCUUCCUGCAGUCAGGCACUUCCUGCCCGGUUCUCCCACCUCAUCCUCCUUUCCCAGGGACCAGACUUGCAUCGCGUCCUGAAGCUCAGCCUGCCUACUCCUGCUCCAUCUUUUCUUUAUCCUUCACAACUGCAGUCCUCAAUUAAUCUCUGGUGCGCUUAACUCUGUCUGCUUCCUGAAGAUGCUCAUAGAUUCUGAGGAUUCCCCACGUGCUGUGACGUGAGAGUCAGGGGCAAGGGAGGAAAACAGCCAGCUCCACUACCUGUCUACCCUCCCUCCGAACUAUUGAGGAAGUUCCCUGUUAGAGAUUCAUUCCUUUGGACCAUGAAGCUUUUUGAUUCUACUAACCUUCAGUGAGUCACGCUUAAGCCUUUAAAAAAAUUCUCUGAGCUUUUUGUUUGUGAAAUAUAACAUAUUUACCAAUGAACAUCAGAUAUAUAAAUGGGUUGUAUGAGUAAUUAUAAAGCAAACUAUAUACCAGCAAGUGAAAAUAUAACACACUGCCCCAGAAGCACCCACAAUCCACGAAUAAUCACCCCCAUCCCCGUGAGGUGCCUAAGUAAGGAGAGGAGGGGGAGAGAAGCUGCCAGGGGAAGGACCAAGGAUGUGCUCUACAGCUCAGCCCCCUGGCUCUGCCCGGCCUCUCCUUGUUCGCACAGAUCAGCCUGAGGGCCAUGCUGCACACCACAGGCCCAUGACCCUCCAUCAGAGUCACCAGGCGCUGGCUGAACAAGCACCUUCAGUGAGCUCUGGAUUACAACACAGCUAUGCAAAGAAGCCAGCGGGUCCUCUCCCUGCCCAUGUGGAGAGAUUGCCAGGCAGAUUCCAAAGUGGAAAAGUCAGAGGCAAUACAGGAGGGCCUGUGUGCCCAGCUCCCACUGUGAAAACCAACCCAGCUGAUGGGGAUUCUUCUCUAUUGCUUUCUAGGUUGUCGCUGCCCUCAGCCUCCAGAUGCAGCCCGCUGCCACCUUCAGGACCCCUGGCUCUCCCUUUGACUCAGUAGCAAAAGGGUUUAUGUGCUCGGAGGGAGUCCUUCAGGAAUCUGUGCAUAGAAUGCCAUAGUGCAGAGGAAAGUAAGACUAUGCAGUUGUAUUUGACUUAAAACCUCCAGAAGGAUAGACAGGGAAGUGACAAAACCUACAGGGAGCAGGGGACAAAGAGGGAUGGGGCUGCAAGCCAGGGGAUGCCUGCAGCCACCAGGAGAUGGGGGGACGCAGGGCGGAUCCUUUCCCAGAGCCUCUGGAAGGAGUAUGGCCCUGCCUACACCUUGAUUUGGAUUUCUGGCCUCUGGAACUGUGAGAGAACAACUGUCUGCUGUGGAAAGUGACCUAAGUUUGUGGCAAUUUGUUACAGCAGCCCCAGAAAAUGGAACAUCUGCUAAGUGAGACUCCUCAGCCAGGCCAGAGAAUGUGCAUUCUGAUGGACUGCUUCUCAUUUGCACCGAUCACUGUGAGUGCCUGAUGGGUGGGCAUCUGGUGCCCAGAGAAGGAGUUGUUCUAUUAUCCUUACACUCCAUAAAGAACAGGUAGAAAUGAAUGCUUACCAAGAUGAAAUCCACCCAUUGUUUCUGAAUGGCUCAGUUUUGAUUUCAUCUUCCAAGGUCUUCUUUCUGAAACCAGCCCAACUUUUCUCCCAGAGAGUAUCAUGGAACUGAACUUUCAAGAUCAUGGCAUCUGGACAUGGAGACAACAGAACCCUCAUCUGGCCACCUGCUGCUUGUUGACCAAUUCCCAUAUAAACCACUAACUUCAGUCAGUUGGAGAGACGGAUUUGAGAUUUGCCUUCUGUCUCUCAGCUGAUGUCACCAGCAAUAAAGCCUUCUUCCCUGGC
RNAcentral lists this small RNA (2310 nucleotides) under Pongo abelii (Sumatran orangutan). RNAcentral describes it as "retained intron". The record is from RNAcentral. Lineage: Eukaryota; Metazoa; Chordata; Mammalia; Primates; Hominidae.